This 313-nucleotide ribosomal RNA is filed under the name candidate division WS5 bacterium. RNAcentral describes it as "partial 23S ribosomal RNA". It matches the Rfam family "Bacterial large subunit ribosomal RNA", at positions 1926 to 2238 of the family's 2925-position model. The record is from RNAcentral.
AACGGCGGCCGUAACUAUAACGGUCCUAAGGUAGCGAAAUUCCUUGUCGGGUAAGUUCCGACCCGCACGAAUGGCGGAACGGUCUGGACACUGUCUCAACGAGGGACCCGGUGAAAUUGCAAUAGCGGUAAAGAUGCCGUUUACCCGCGACAAGACGGAAAGACCCCGUGGAGCUUUACUACAGCUUGGCAUUGGAUUAAGGCAGUAUAUGUGUAGGAUAGGUGGGAGACUUUGAAACCGAGGCGCUAGCUUCGGUGGAGUCGCCCUUGAAAUACCACCCUUAUGCUAUUUUGAUUCUAACCGAGACCGAAAA